This 207-nucleotide ribosomal RNA is filed under the name uncultured bacterium. RNAcentral's name for it is "partial 16S ribosomal RNA". It matches the Rfam family "Bacterial small subunit ribosomal RNA", at positions 568 to 774 of the family's 1533-position model. The record is from RNAcentral.
CGCGUAGGUGGUUUGUUAAGUCGGAUGUGAAAGCCCCGGGCUCAACCUGGGAAUUGCAUUCGAUACUGGCAGACUAGAGUAUGGUAGAGGGAAGUGGAAUUCCGGGUGUAGCGGUGAAAUGCGUAGAUAUCCGGAGGAACAUCAGUGGCGAAGGCGGCUUCCUGGACCAAUACUGACACUGAGGUGCGAAAGCGUGGGUAGCAAACA